GACGAACGCUGGCGGCGCGCCUAACACAUGCAAGUCGAACGAGCGAGAGAGAGCUUGCUUUCUCGAGCGAGUGGCGAACGGGUGAGUAACGCGUGAGGAACCUGCCUCAAAGAGGGGGACAACAGUUGGAAACGACUGCUAAUACCGCAUAAGCCCACGGGUCGGCAUCGACCAGAGGGAAAAGGAGCAAUCCGCUUUGAGAUGGCCUCGCGUCCGAUUAGCUGGUUGGUGAGGUAAUGGCCCACCAAGGCGACGAUCGGUAGCCGGACUGAGAGGUUGAACGGCCACAUUGGGACUGAGACACGGCCCAGACUCCUACGGGAGGCAGCAGUGGGGAAUAUUGCACAAUGGGGGAAACCCUGAUGCAGCGACGCCGCGUGGAGGAAGAAGGUCUUCGGAUUGUAAACUCCUGUUGUUGGGGAAGAUAAUGACGGUACC
RNAcentral lists this ribosomal RNA (438 nucleotides) under uncultured bacterium. Its description in RNAcentral is "bacterial SSU rRNA". It matches the Rfam family "Bacterial small subunit ribosomal RNA", at positions 28 to 479 of the family's 1533-position model. The record is from RNAcentral.